CCUACGGGAGGCAGCAGUGAGGAAUAUUGGUCAAUGGACGAGAGUCUGAACCAGCCAAGUAGCGUGAAGGAUGACUGCCCUAUGGGUUGUAAACUUCUUUUAUAUGGGAAUAAAAUGUUCCACGUGUGGGAUUUUGUAUGUACCAUAUGAAUAAGGAUCGGCUAACUCCGUGCCAGCAGCCGCGGUAAUACGGAGGAUCCGAGCGUUAUCCGGAUUUAUUGGGUUUAAAGGGAGCGUAGGUGGAUUGUUAAGUCAGUUGUGAAAUUUUGCGGCUCAACCGUAAAAUUGCAGUUGAGACUGGCAGUCUUGAGUACAGUAGAGGUGGGCGGAAUUCGUGGUGUAGCGGUGAAAUGCUUAGAUAUCACGAAGAACUCCGAUUGCGAAGGCAGCAUACCGGCGCUCAACUGACGCUGAGGCACGAAAGCGUGGGGAUCGAACAGGAUUAGAUACCCUGGUAGUC
Molecule: ribosomal RNA, 460 nt
Filed under: uncultured bacterium
Lineage: Bacteria
Description: partial 16S ribosomal RNA
Rfam family: Bacterial small subunit ribosomal RNA
Source: RNAcentral